RNAcentral lists this ribosomal RNA (492 nucleotides) under uncultured bacterium. RNAcentral's name for it is "partial 16S ribosomal RNA". It matches the Rfam family "Bacterial small subunit ribosomal RNA", at positions 29 to 507 of the family's 1533-position model. The record is from RNAcentral.
AGUGAACGCUGGCGGUAGGCCUAACACAUGCAAGUCGAACGGCAGCACAGUAAGAGCUUGCUCUUACGGGUGGCGAGUGGCGGACGGGUGAGGAAUACAUCGGAAUCUACUUUUUCGUGGGGGAUAACGUAGGGAAACUUACGCUAAUACCGCAUACGACCUACGGGUGAAAGCAGGGGAUCUUCGGACCUUGCGCGAUUGAAUGAGCCGAUGUCGGAUUAGCUAGUUGGCGGGGUAAAGGCCCACCAAGGCGACGAUCCGUAGCUGGUCUGAGAGGAUGAUCAGCCACACUGGAACUGAGACACGGUCCAGACUCCUACGGGAGGCAGCAGUGGGGAAUAUUGGACAAUAGGCGCAAGCCUGAUCCAGCCAUACCGCGUGGGUGAAGAAGGCCUUCGGGUUGUAAAGCCCUUUUGUUGGGAAAGAAAAGCAGCAGGUUAAUACCCCGCUGUUCUGACGGUACCCAAAGAAGAAGCACCGGCUAACUUCGUG